UGCCACUGAUGCCAAUUGAUAGAGUUCAUUAGUCUGCGAUGAUAGGCUUAUCAUAAGCUUCAGAAACCAUGGUACACAAGUACGAGAUAAUAUUGUCAAGACAGCCAAAAAUGUUACUAGAAGCACCAACCUGAAAGCAUAAAUAUGUUGUAAGUGAAUAGGAGAAAAUGAAUCCAAAGAUUUAUGCAUGAAUAGUUUACAAUACAUGUGCACAAAUGUCUAUAUUAGAAUUCUGCAGUUGCAUAACAUUUUAGAUCCUACAAAUAUUGUUCAUAGCAUCAGCAUGAUCAAGUGUCCUUUUUCAAGUCAUUCUAUGUACAUAUCUUGAACCUUCAUAGUGUAUAUCCUCUUAUAAUUAACAGCUAAAUUUCAUCAACUAAAGGGAAAAAAAAAAUAUACUGCAGAAACCAAGGACAGGAAGAAUGGAUGUUUAUGUAAUGAAAAUUGCAGAAAUCAAAUGAAUAAACAGAUUUAAAUUGAUUAGAUUCUUACGAUUUAGUCAUGGACAUGACUCCUUGAAGAACACCAGAAGUACCACCAAGAACAGGAAGCAAAGCAAAAAGCAAACCAACUGCACAAUCCUGCAAGAUAAGGGUGCCAAUAGUGACUUGACCAUGAAGGGAAUUAAUACUAUUCUUCUCCAUCAAAAAUUUCAAAACCACAGCAGUAGAUGACAUAGACAGUAAAGCACCAACAAACACUCCCUCUGAAGAUUUGCCACCACAUAACUGCAAAAAGCAUGCCGCUAGACACAUCAAAAACUAGUAGCCAGGAAACAGAACAGUAUAAUGGUUAAACAAUUAAGCUGCCCUUUGAUUCAACUAAAUUUCAGUUACUUAAGUCCAAAAACAUCAAUGCAAACUCCAGGCUCAGUCAGGGGUUACCACUGAAAAUAGUGAUAUUAUGCUACGCCAGCCAUGGAGACAACCCAAGCACUGCCCUCCAAAACAAAUUAAAGUUUGAAUUGGAAUCCCCAUACCACAUGCUCAUACAUGCAUAUCAAUCUAACAUCGAGACUGUUAUUCCACACAAGCACAUAAAGAGGAAAAUCUGGAGAAGACCACCUAGAACAGCAACAGCUCGAACAACACGAAGCUUUGUUGUUGAGAAUUCUAGGCCCAACGCAAAUAGAAGAAAUACCACGCCAAACUGAGCCACUGUUUCAACCUGCACCAUUUCACUAACAAAGCUCAAGCCCCCAGGCCCAAUAAUAGAUCCUGCUAGCAGAUAUCCAGUAAUAACCGGUUGUCCAACACAGGCAAAUGCAAUGCCACCACAAGUUGCAGAUACAAUGACAACUACCAGAUCCGAUAUCAAUCUUAAAUCUAAUUGCAACACAGGGUACUUGGAUUUUGGGUUUGAUAUGAUAAAGACAUUGUCCUUUCUGUCAAUCAACGUUGGCAUAUCCUCUGCUCGAUUCUCAUUGUCCAAAUUGAAAACAUCAUGAAACUGAAAAGACUUCUCCUCCUUGGUGUCAUUUUUCUUUGAUUUAACUCUAGCAACAGUUUCCAAAACAGCCUGCUGUCCAGCAACACUGUUAUUGAAGCUACCAGGAUCAGCGGAUUCAUUCUGGUCGGUCUCGUUGAACUCCUUCUCCAAAGCCCGAUCAAUCAUGUCAGCGAAACUGUCCUCUCUGGAUCUCGAACGCGUGGCGUUCGACUCAGUUGUUGCAUUCAUCUCUACCGCUGAGUCGGAUUCGGUGACGGAGAGCGAGAGAAAGAAAGCACAAACGAACAACAGAACUAAAAGUAACCUCAUUGCAGAGAAAACGCUCCGAGAAAGAAAAGGAAAACGACGGUGCACCAGUGGCACCGACAAGUUAGCUAACCGGCGCUAUGGUUAUUAGAUUUUGUUUCACUGUAUGAUGAAGCACGAGAGGGAAAGUAUUUUAGUAAGCUUACAAAUGGAGGAUUUGAUGCGUAUUGGGUGAAAAUAUUCAGUGUAGCUGCUGCCCACUGUCUCUGGUUGAGGAUUAGAAGGUGGAGGAUGAAGAUUUAAUCUUAUGAUCGCAAAAUG
RNAcentral lists this unclassified non-coding RNA (2016 nucleotides) under Hevea brasiliensis (rubber tree). The record is from RNAcentral. Lineage: Eukaryota; Viridiplantae; Streptophyta; Magnoliopsida; Malpighiales; Euphorbiaceae.